GGGUCCGUAGUGUAGUUUGGAUAGCACAUCGGCUUCCGGAGCCGAAGGUCAGGGGUUCAAAUCCCCUCGGACCCG
Molecule: transfer RNA, 75 nt
Filed under: Methanomethylicia archaeon
Lineage: Archaea; Thermoproteati; Thermoproteota; Methanosuratincolia
Description: Candidatus Methanomethylicia archaeon tRNA-Arg
Rfam family: tRNA
About the family: Transfer RNA (tRNA) molecules are approximately 80 nucleotides in length. Their secondary structure includes four short double-helical elements and three loops (D, anti-codon, and T loops).
Source: RNAcentral